Molecule: non-coding RNA, 46 nt
Organism: Trichobilharzia regenti
Lineage: Eukaryota; Metazoa; Platyhelminthes; Trematoda; Strigeidida; Schistosomatidae
Source: Rfam
GUACUGCUGAGGAGUCUCAAACUAGGACGAAACAGCUGUCCAGUAC